GAUGAACGCUGGCGGCGUGCCUAAUACAUGCAAGUCGAGCGAACGGACGAGAAGCUUGCUUCUCUGAUGUUAGCGGCGGACGGGUGAGUAACACGUGGAUAACCUACCUAUAAGACUGGGAUAACUUCGGGAAACCGUAGCUAAUACCGGAUAAUAUUUUGAACCGCAUGGUUCAAAAGUGAAAGACGGUCUUGCUGUCACUUAUAGAUGGAUCCGCGCUGCAUUAGCUAGUUGGUAAGGUAACGGCUUACCAAGGCAACGAUGCAUAGCCGACCUGAGAGGGUGAUCGGCCACACUGGAACUGAGACACGGUCCAGACUCCUACGGGAGGCAGCAGUAGGGAAUCUUCCGCAGUGGGCGAAAGCCUGACGGAGCAACGCCGCGCGAGUGAUGAAGGUCUUCGGAUCGUAAAACUCUGUUAUUAGGGAAGAACAUAUGUGUAAGUAACUGUGCACAUCUUGACGGUACCUAAUCAGAAAGCCACGGCUAACUACGUG
RNAcentral lists this ribosomal RNA (497 nucleotides) under uncultured bacterium. Its description in RNAcentral is "partial 16S ribosomal RNA". It matches the Rfam family "Bacterial small subunit ribosomal RNA", at positions 28 to 507 of the family's 1533-position model. The record is from RNAcentral.